GACGAACGCUGGCGGCGUGCUUAACACAUGCAAGUCGAACGGAAAGGCCCUGCUUUUGUGUGGUGCUCGAGUGGCGAACGGGUGAGUAACACGUGAGUAACCUGCCCUUGACUUUGGGAUAACUUCAGGAAACUGGGGCUAAUACCGGAUAGGAGCUCCUGCUGCAUGGUGGGGGUUGGAAAGUUUCGUCGGUUGGGGAUGGACUCGCGGCUUAUCAGCUUGUUGGUGGGGUAGUGGCUUACCAAGGCUUUGACGGGUAGCCGGCCUGAGAGGGUGACCGGCCACAUUGGGACUGAGAUACGGCCCAGACUCCUACGGGAGGCAGCAGUGGGGAAUAUUGCACAAUGGGCGGAAGCCUGAUGCAGCAACGCCGCGUGCGGGAUGACGGCCUUCGGGUUGUAAACCGCUUUCGCCUGUGACGAAGCGUGAGUGACGGUAAUGGGUAAAGAAGCACCGGCUAACUACGUG
RNAcentral lists this ribosomal RNA (468 nucleotides) under uncultured bacterium. RNAcentral's name for it is "partial 16S ribosomal RNA". It matches the Rfam family "Bacterial small subunit ribosomal RNA", at positions 28 to 507 of the family's 1533-position model. The record is from RNAcentral.